UACGGGGGGGGCAAGCGUUGUUCGGAAUUACUGGGCGUAAAGCGCGUGUAGGUGGUUAGAUAAGUCACUGUUGAAAGCGCCCGGCUAAACUGGGCGAGGCGCGGUGAGACUGUCUGGCUAGAGUAUGGGAGAGGGAUGCAGAAUUCCGGGUGUAGUGGUGAAAUGCGUAGAGAUCCGGAGGAAUACCAGAGGCGAAGGCGGCAUCCUGGCCUAAAACUGACACUGAGACGCGAAAGCAUGGGGAGCGAACGGG
This 253-nucleotide ribosomal RNA is filed under the name uncultured bacterium. RNAcentral's name for it is "partial 16S ribosomal RNA". It matches the Rfam family "Bacterial small subunit ribosomal RNA", at positions 524 to 776 of the family's 1533-position model. The record is from RNAcentral.